GAUGAACGCUGGCGGCGUGCCUAAUACAUGCAAGUCGAGCGAACGGACGAGAAGCUUGCUUCUCUGAUGUUAGCGGCGGACGGGUGAGUAACACGUGGAUAACCUACCUAUAAGACUGGGAUAACUUCGGGAAACCGGAGCUAAUACCGGAUAAUAUUUUGAACCGCAUGGUUCAAAAGUGAAAGACGGUCUUGCUGUCACUUAUAGAUGGAUCCGCGCUGCAUUAGCUAGUUGGUAAGGUAACGGCUUACCAAGGCAACGAUGCAUAGCCGACCUGAGAGGGGGAUCGGCCACACUGGAACUGAGACACGGUCCAGACUCCUACGGGAGGCAGCAGUAGGGAAUCUUCCGCAAUGGGCGAAAGCCUGACGGAGCAACGCCGCGUGAGUGAUGAAGGUCUUCGGAUCGUAAAACUCUGUUAUUAGGGAAGAACAUAUGUGUAAGGAACUGUGCACAUCUUGACGGUACCUAAUCAGAAAGCCACGGCUAACUACGUG
This 497-nucleotide ribosomal RNA is filed under the name uncultured bacterium. RNAcentral describes it as "partial 16S ribosomal RNA". It matches the Rfam family "Bacterial small subunit ribosomal RNA", at positions 28 to 507 of the family's 1533-position model. The record is from RNAcentral.